UACGGGGGGAGCAAGCGUUGUUCGGAAUUACUGGGCGUAAAGCGCGCGUAGGCGGCUUUGCAAGUCGGGUGUGAAAUCCCCAGGCUUAACCUGGGAACUGCAUUCGAGACUGCAUUGCUAGAGUAUGGGAGAGGGAAGUGGAAUUUCCGGUGUAGCGGUGAAAUGCGUAGAUAUCGGAAGGAACAUCAGUGGCGAAAGCGACUUCCUGGACCAAUACUGACGCUCAUGUGCGAAAGCGUGGGGAGCAAACAGG
RNAcentral lists this ribosomal RNA (253 nucleotides) under uncultured bacterium. RNAcentral's name for it is "partial 16S ribosomal RNA". It matches the Rfam family "Bacterial small subunit ribosomal RNA", at positions 524 to 776 of the family's 1533-position model. The record is from RNAcentral.